Molecule: small RNA, 1667 nt
Filed under: Drosophila pseudoobscura pseudoobscura
Lineage: Eukaryota; Metazoa; Arthropoda; Insecta; Diptera; Drosophilidae
Description: GA28893
Source: RNAcentral
GCAUUGCCAAAAAUAUCAAUUUUGAAUAGUUUGAUCUAUUUUCGAGCUCUGGACAAUCUUAAAAUCUCAAACAUCGAUAGGCAAAAACUGUGUCAAUAUCGAUUGUGAAAAUCUGCAACCCGCCAUCGGCUAUCUGUCUUGGCACUUGAAAAUUUAGAUCUCGUAUCGUUUGCAUCAUUUCGCAUAUAGAAACGCUCGAGAACUUUGUUGUGUGGACUCCCCAAAGGAAGAGGGCCCCUUGGGGGCCCCCCAAGGCGAUCAAAUUGAGUCUCGAGUCCGUGGCCGCAAAGGCAUCGCUAGAGCCGUCGGGCAGCAGGGAGCUGCUCCUAAAAUUGCAAGUCACUCGCGACGGAACCGUCCACAAAAUUCAAGCAACUAAACGGAAAAUAAUAUACAAUAAGCGCCGCAACAUUCUACGGCUUCGUCGGCUGCAGAAAUUUUCCCUUUAAAGCUGAAGCCGGCCCAGACGGCCAGGCAGAUGCCGCCCGUGAAGGAGGAAGAGCUAAAGUCGUUUGCGGUUGACUUUGAUAACAAGGAUGAAGCGCCUGCUGUGGGGCCUUUAGCACCCCUAAUGCGGUGUCGUUCGGCGACGCCACUACCGCUGACCAGCAGCCAAAGCAGAUGCCCAAUCUUGAUGAUGCCGAUCGCCGGUCGUGCGGGCGGCACAGGAGCCUAGAAGGAGAUGGACACCCAGCUGAAGGCGGAAAUAUUGCCGGACAGUCCGGAGCAGAAGGCUCUGGUCAAGGAGAUGAAGCGAGUUGAGCUUCAGUUGCAGAAUCUGGACAGAAAGACCCUGAAGAACGAGAACGAGGUAAAUCGUCAGCAAUAUCUGUGCCUCGCCUUUGCGCAACGUCAACCUGCCUCACCAAGAUGGAGCAGAAUAACACCAACAUUCAAAUGAUUCACUCAUCCUUGGGUCUCCGCCAAGCGCCGCGGCGCUGUCGUAACUGCUUGCCGAGGAUCCAUCCAUGAUCCGAUCCGGGCAAUCAGUCGUCGGGCGUUCAGAACGCCUUUAUUCUUCAUUCUUGAUCAUUUAUUUUUUAUUCCAAAAUAUGUUUCUCAGCCAUUUAGUGGAUCCUUGCGCCCUUCCGCCACGUAUUCAUUCUGCAUGAGUACUUUUUCUGCGAGUCCAAUCAUGAUCGCAGUCACGGAAAAGCAAAAGAUGAUCUGCGGCUUUAAGCCUCAUUCCUUUCUCUCCUUUGAGCUGGUCUCGUAUUUCGUGGCGCAGCUCGGGUAUCAGCUAGAUCCAUAUUCGGUUCUGGAUCUAUCCAUAUGGAGCUGAUUCCCAAGCUACGCGACGAGAUGCGAGAGGAGCUCAAAGGCAAGAUAAAGGAAAGAGGCACAAAGCCACAAAUCAUCUAGUGCUUUUUCCUGGCAGGGAUCGAGGCUGGAUUCGCGGCGACAGUACUUCUUCAGAAUCAGUACGUGACGGAGUGGAUCUAGAUUCCAAACCGAAUUAAGAUCUAGAUCCAAAACCAAAUAUAUGGAUCUAGAUCCAUGUUCGCUUUUGGAUCUCGAUCCUGAUUUAAUCCCACCCACUGAUUAUUUUUUUGUUUCUUGUUUCUUGUAUUUGGAAAUGUCAUGCCUCUGCCAUUUAUGGGCUUAAAAUGUUUUAGUUCUGAAUAAAAGUCUGCGUGGUACAAAAAGAGCUCGCCCGAAAAAAUCAA